This 173-nucleotide long non-coding RNA is filed under the name Canis lupus familiaris (dog). RNAcentral's name for it is "lncRNA (ENSCAFG00845014363.1)". The record is from RNAcentral. Lineage: Eukaryota; Metazoa; Chordata; Mammalia; Carnivora; Canidae.
CACUAUCUUCCCUUCUUUCUUCCUGGAGGCACUUUCCAAACUAAGAUGCAGGGAGAAUAAACCCAAGCAGAAAACACAGGUUUCUUUGAAUUCAGGAGAAAGAUUAGAGUUUGAGGAGACUGAGACAACUGGAAAAGGCCACAUCAGUUCUGUUCUUGAUGGCCGAAGCUGUG